AGCGUAGGCGGAACUACAAGACAGGGGUCAAAUCUCCGGGCUCAACCUGGAACUUGCCUUUGUGACUGUGGUUCUUGAGUAUGGUAGAGGUUGGCGGAAUUUCCGGUGUAGCGGUGGAAUGCGUAGAGAUCGGAAAGAACACCAGAGGCGAAGGCGGCCAACUGGACCAAUACUGACGCUGAGGCUCGAAAGCGUGGGGAGCAAACAGGAUUAGAUACCCUGGUAGUCCACGCUGUAAACGAUGAACACUAGAUGUCGGGAGGGGUUCCUUCCGGUGUCGUCGCUAACGCAGUAAGUGUUCCGCCUGGGGAGUACGCUCGCAAGGGUGAA
RNAcentral lists this ribosomal RNA (330 nucleotides) under uncultured bacterium. RNAcentral's name for it is "bacterial SSU rRNA". It matches the Rfam family "Bacterial small subunit ribosomal RNA", at positions 568 to 898 of the family's 1533-position model. The record is from RNAcentral.